CUCAGGUAGGCCUAGUGGUUUGAGCACUGGACUAUGACUCUGGAGACCAGAGUUCGAUUCCUCAGCCAUGAAA
Non-coding RNA from Phrynosoma platyrhinos (Desert horned lizard), 73 nucleotides. The record is from the annotation of a GenBank genome assembly. Lineage: Eukaryota; Metazoa; Chordata; Lepidosauria; Squamata; Phrynosomatidae.